CGCUGGCGGCGUGCCUAAUACAUGCAAGUCGAACGAAUCUUCUUCGGAAGAUGAGUGGCGAACGGGUGAGUAAUACAUAGGUAACCUGCCCCUGUGCGGGGGAUAACAGGAGGAAACUCCUGCUAAUACCGCAUAGCCAUGAGCACCGCAUGGAGCUCAUGCCAAAUAUCCUUCAGGGGAUAGCGCAGGGAUGGACCUAUGGCGCAUUAGCUAGUUGGCGGGGCAACGGCCCACCAAGGCAACGAUGCGUAGCCGGCCUGAGAGGGCGGACGGCCACAUUGGGACUGAGACACGGCCCAGACUCCUACGGGAGGCAGCAGUAGGGAAUUUUCGGCAAUGGGGGAAACCCUGACCGAGCAACGCCGCGUGAGCGAAGAAGGCCUUCGGGUCGUAAAGCUCUGUUGUAAAGGAAGAACGUCGCAUGCAGGAAAUGGUGUGCGAGUGACGGUACUUUACCAGAAAGCCACGGCUAACUACGUGCCAGCAGCCGCGGUAAUACGUAGGUGGCGAGCGUUAUCCGGAAUCAUUGGGCGUAAAGAGGGAGCAGGCGGCCGCAAGGGUCUGUGGUGAAAGACCGAAGCUAAACUUCGGUAAGCCAUGGAAACUGGGCGGCUAGAGUGCGGAAGAGGAUCGUGGAAUUCCAUGUGUAGCGGUGAAAUGCGUAGAUAUAUGGAGGAACACCAGUGGCGAAGGUGACGGUCUGGGCCGCAACUGACGCUCAUUCCCGAAAGCGUGGGGAGCAAAUAGGAUUAGAUACCCUAGUAGUCCACGCCGUAAACGAUGGUCACUAAGUGUCGGGGGUCAAACCCC
Molecule: ribosomal RNA, 810 nt
Filed under: uncultured bacterium
Lineage: Bacteria
Description: bacterial SSU rRNA
Rfam family: Bacterial small subunit ribosomal RNA
Source: RNAcentral